GGUUGGCCCUGUCUGGGUCUGGUCUGACCACAGGCAUUUGAACUGGAGCUGGGUGAAUCUCAUCUGGAGGCGACGACAAGAAAGCAGCUGCCAAUGGCCAGGAAUUGACUGCUGGGGCUCCAGGCCACACACUUGACUCCCAGCGACCACUCGUAGGCGCUGUAAGUGGACAGCAAGCGGCCAUCCAGAGAAUACAGCAACACCUUGUACUGCCAGGAGGACAUGCGCGUCAAGCAAGCGUUGUGCUUCCAACGGAAUGAGAAAGAGGUGGAAGAUCCAGAGACAGACACAGAGC
This is a long non-coding RNA of Hippocampus comes (tiger tail seahorse), 295 nucleotides long. RefSeq lists it as uncharacterized. NCBI's taxonomy places the organism in Eukaryota, Metazoa, Chordata, Actinopteri, Syngnathiformes, Syngnathidae. The transcript is spliced from 3 exons. The record is from RefSeq and is a predicted model, not a curated record.